GGAACCCUGACCGAGCAACGCCGCGUGAGUGAAGAAGGUUUUCGGAUCGUAAAGCUCUGUUGUAAGAGAAGAACGGGUGUGAGAGUGGAAAGUUCACACUGUGACGGUAUCUUACCAGAAAGGGACGGCUAACUACGUGCCAGCAGCCGCGGUAAUACGUAGGUCCCGAGCGUUGUCCGGAUUUAUUGGGCGUAAAGCGAGCGCAGGCGGUUAGAUAAGUCUGAAGUUAAAGGCUGUGGCUUAACCAUAGUAUGCUUUGGAAACUGUUUAACUUGAGUGCAGAAGGGGAGAGUGGAAUUCCAUGUGUAGCGGUGAAAUGCGUAGAUAUAUGGAGGAACACCGGUGGCGAAAGCGGCUCUCUGGUCUGUAAACUGACGCUGAGGCUCGAAAAGCGUUGGGGAGCAAAACAGGGAUUAAGAUACCCUGGUAGUCCCACGCCGUAAAACGAUGAGUGCUAAGUGUAAGGCCCUUUUCCGGGGGGCUUAGUUGCCCGCCAAGC
Molecule: ribosomal RNA, 499 nt
Filed under: Streptococcus sanguinis
Lineage: Bacteria; Bacillati; Bacillota; Bacilli; Lactobacillales; Streptococcaceae
Description: bacterial SSU rRNA
Rfam family: Bacterial small subunit ribosomal RNA
Source: RNAcentral